AGUGAACGCUGGCGGUAGGCCUAACACAUGCAAGUCGAACGGCAGCACAGUAAGAUCUUGCUCUUACGGGUGGCGAGUGGCGGACGAGUGAGGAAUACAUCGGAAUCUACUUUUUCGUGGGGGAUUACGUAGGGAAACUUACGCUAAUGCCGCAUACGUCCUACGGGUGAAAGCAGGGGAUCUUCGGACCUUGCGCGAUUGAAUGAGCCGAUGUCGGAUUAGCUAGUUGGCGGGGUAAAGGCCCACCAAGGCGACGAUCCGUAGCUGGUCUGAGAGGAUGAUCAGCCACACUGGAACUGAGACACGGUCCAGACUCCUACGGGAGGCAGCAGUGGGGAAUAUUGGACAAUGGGCGCAAGCCUGAUCCAGCCAUACCGCGUGGGUGAAGAAGGCCUUCGGGUUGUAAAGCCCUUUUGUUGGGAAAGAAAAGCAGCAGGUUAAUACCCCGCUGUUCUGACGGUACCCAAAGAAUAAGCACCGGCUAACUUCGUG
This 492-nucleotide ribosomal RNA is filed under the name uncultured bacterium. Its description in RNAcentral is "partial 16S ribosomal RNA". It matches the Rfam family "Bacterial small subunit ribosomal RNA", at positions 29 to 507 of the family's 1533-position model. The record is from RNAcentral.